Molecule: non-coding RNA, 46 nt
Organism: Schistosoma mansoni
Lineage: Eukaryota; Metazoa; Platyhelminthes; Trematoda; Strigeidida; Schistosomatidae
Source: Rfam
GCACUGGUAAGGAGUCCCACAAUAGGACGAAACGGCCGUCCAGUGC